RNAcentral lists this ribosomal RNA (508 nucleotides) under Lactiplantibacillus plantarum. RNAcentral's name for it is "bacterial SSU rRNA". It matches the Rfam family "Bacterial small subunit ribosomal RNA", at positions 68 to 542 of the family's 1533-position model. The record is from RNAcentral. Lineage: Bacteria; Bacillati; Bacillota; Bacilli; Lactobacillales; Lactobacillaceae.
GACUCUGGUAUUGAUUGGUGCUUGCAUCAUGAUUUACAUUUGAGUGAGUGGCGAACUGGUGAGUAACACGUGGGAAACCUGCCCAGAAGCGGGGGAUAACACCUGGAAACAGAUGCUAAUACCGCAUAACAACUUGGACCGCAUGGUCCGAGCUUGAAAGAUGGCUUCGGCUAUCACUUUUGGAUGGUCCCGCGGCGUAUUAGCUAGAUGGUGGGGUAACGGCUCACCAUGGCAAUGAUACGUAGCCGACCUGAGAGGGUAAUCGGCCACAUUGGGACUGAGACACGGCCCAAACUCCUACGGGAGGCAGCAGUAGGGAAUCUUCCACAAUGGACGAAAGUCUGAUGGAGCAACGCCGCGUGAGUGAAGAAGGGUUUCGGCUCGUAAAACUCUGUUGUUAAAGAAGAACAUAUCUGAGAGUAACUGUUCAGGUAUUGACGGUAUUUAACCAGAAAGCCACGGCUAACUACGUGCCACCCCGCCCCCGUAAUACGUAGUGGCAAGCGUU